This 77-nucleotide small nucleolar RNA is filed under the name Penicillium antarcticum. Its description in RNAcentral is "Small nucleolar RNA R38". It matches the Rfam family "Small nucleolar RNA R38". Rfam says of the family: snoR38 is a C/D box small nucleolar RNA conserved across yeast, human, Arabidopsis and rice. It is encoded in the intron of elongation factor-1 gamma in both pombe and cerevisiae. snoR38 guides the methylation of 2'-O-ribose sites in 28S rRNA. Lineage: Eukaryota; Fungi; Ascomycota; Eurotiomycetes; Eurotiales; Aspergillaceae. The record is from Rfam by way of RNAcentral.
AUCUUUUAUGAUGAGUUCAUAUUAUAGUUAUCCCUGUCAGAACAAUACUGUUGAGGAACACGCACUCUGAAAAAAAA